CGGACACGUGCGGUCCGUCAGGGCUGGUAUGCGGCCAAAUCUGCGAGUCGGCCGGAGCCAACAGCAGCUGCUCGUGCGUGCCCGGCUGGGCGCUCGCCGCCGACAAGCAGACGUGCGCAGUUUCUAAGAAGGCGCUUUGCUACAAAGUGGAAACGAAUUUCUUUGACGAACAUCCUGCCAAGGCAGACUUCAACGAGACGGUGCGGGGCUGCGAAAAGUCUUGCAAAGAGAAGAAGGCGCAUUAUAGCGCCCAGGGCCGGCUGGGCUGUCGCUGUCUGGACUUCUUCGAGGUGGUCGCUUCUCUGGACGUGCUUACCUUACAGCCGAAGAGAGCAUGCGACCGCCUGCGGGAAUCCAGCUGGCGCGUGCGCUU
Molecule: long non-coding RNA, 373 nt
Filed under: Pollicipes pollicipes
Lineage: Eukaryota; Metazoa; Arthropoda; Thecostraca; Pollicipedomorpha; Pollicipedidae
Description: uncharacterized LOC119103282
Source: RNAcentral